AAAAAAUGAUGAAAAGAAGGGUCAAGUGAGCCGCUGAGCACCAGAAUGGUCCGUUGAGCGCUCGGAGCGAUUAGAGGGAAACCGCUCAGCGGAAAAAUUGACCGCUGAGCGGUCAAAGCAGCACAAGGCAAACCGCUGAGCGGUGAAUUUAAGCGCCUGUGCAGUUGUCUUUUUUUUAGCUAGAUUCUGUAAAUCUUUCUGUAAUCUUUCUGUUAUCUUUUUGGGCUUAUAUAUAGCUCUAGUGCGAAUUAGAAAGGGAUUCUUUUGGCAGAGAGAAACGUCCAGAGCUAUU
RNAcentral lists this long non-coding RNA (292 nucleotides) under Vigna radiata. RNAcentral's name for it is "long non-coding RNA (VRAD_LNC006750)". The record is from RNAcentral. Lineage: Eukaryota; Viridiplantae; Streptophyta; Magnoliopsida; Fabales; Fabaceae.